RNAcentral lists this ribosomal RNA (885 nucleotides) under Triticum aestivum (bread wheat). RNAcentral describes it as "partial small subunit ribosomal RNA". The record is from RNAcentral. Lineage: Eukaryota; Viridiplantae; Streptophyta; Magnoliopsida; Poales; Poaceae.
AUGAAGUUGGGUGAAUCUUGUGUGAUCAGACUGAACUUCUUGUUAUAUUGCCAGCUGAUACAUACUGCUGAUGCCACUGGAAUGAUUGACCAGUCUGGGGUAGACGCAGGCGAUCACUUCCAAGUGGUCCUCGUAGGCAGCGAACGAAAGCAACCCAGAAGAGCGAUCGCCUGCGUCUACUCGUCGGACACAGGCCUAUGGGGUGACCUCAUCUCGGCGCCGCUUCCAUUCGAUGGCUUUUUCGUUUUUACGAGCGAGCCCGCAGUGCUGGCUGGGGAUUGCCUUCACUGGUCGAUUUUUACGGCGGGGUCGCCACCAAGUACCCUUGGGUUUGAUUUGGAUGGGCAGAGCCUAGCCCUGGAAUUGCUGCCAGGGGACAUGUAUACCCCGGGCAGAUUCGCGGUCACGGUCAUCCGAGCAGAGAGUGGUGGGAUGGGUUUCCUUUUAUUGUCAGGCUUCACCGCCCAACUAUGGAGUAUGGAGACCGAUGGCGACGGUGUUGUGAUAUGGGAGCCGAGAAGAAUUAUUGAACUGGACAAGUUACUUGGACUAAAUUCAAAGAAACAGCCCCCGCAAAUGAUAGGGUAUGCGGAGGAAAAUAAUUUGGUGUUCCUCUGGACAGUUGUUGGUGUCUUCAUGGUCCAUCUUCAGUCAUUGCAGUUGAAGAAAAUCUCCAAGGCCACCAUCGGUUCUCACUAUCAUCCAUUCGAAACUGUCUAUACUCCAGGCAUUGGUGGUGGACACGAGGGGGCUGAAGCUGUGAGGCAUCCCUGUACCAUUUCUCAAUUACCAAAUAUUGCCCACCUAGCGACCUCCCAUCAUCCUUUCAUGGAUUGCUGCAUCCUGGAUGAUUUCUCCAGGCCCUGCUUCCUUGCAUUCUUAUAG